This is a long non-coding RNA of Ahaetulla prasina, 3024 nucleotides long. RefSeq lists it as uncharacterized. NCBI's taxonomy places the organism in Eukaryota, Metazoa, Chordata, Lepidosauria, Squamata, Colubridae. The transcript is spliced from 3 exons. The record is from RefSeq and is a predicted model, not a curated record.
CUGAAGGGAAAAAAAGUUUUUUCUUUUAAUGUGAGAAUCCAAACACCGCGUUUACUGGUGUAAAUCGGCGCUUGCUUUAAAAGAAAACUCAGCCGAUGUUCGUCCAGUUCGUUUUCUACUUUUGCAUUUUCCAGAAAAGAUCAUGGGCUAAGCAGCUUGGCUCUUCCCGAGCCGUGUUAUAUAUACAAACGUCAAGGUUGCCAGCAUGCCGAAAGUGGGAGAUGCGGAAAGAGGGCGAGUUACUCGUCUUUCGAGGCUCUUCGUGUAGGCUGACCCUGGAGCCGGAGCCCUGGCAUCAAAAUCGACCGGGCGGCAAAGAAACGUAGCGCGUCGGAAUUUAACCACCCACCCCACCCCCAUCAAUCGUUUGUGGAGAUUGGGCUUGGAUUCAAAUCGUGGCCUUUUUGUCAAGGGCGAGCUUGAGUUUGUACAAAUCGAAGGUUGUGGUGGGGUAAAAUGGGACGGAUCGGCCGAGCGAAAGCAGAAGGGACCGGCCUUGCUAGCGCGGGCUGCGUGUGCGUGACUGACUGGAGGAAGCGCGAUUCGCAGGCGGGGAGUGAGAAGUGUCCCAGAGGGGGCACUCCUAAAGCCGCGCCAAAACCGAGAAGAGCCGCAAGCCCUCUUUCCCUUCGAAGCGAAGCGCGUGGAAGGAAGGCCGAACUGGCUGGGCGGACACUUAAGGGAGAGAGUUGCCUUGCUGGGGAGAGCGGUUCGGUUCCUCCGACUCUCGCUCGCUCUGGGUUUCCCCGUUAAAAUGUUUCCGAGAUCCGUGGAGAAUAGAGCGGGGCUGAGGCGAACGCGAAGAAUGUCAGCAUUUGUCCAGAUCUCAACAUUGCAGAUGGAUCCAUUUUAUAUGGAAUUGUUCAUAUUUUCUAUUUAGAACGUCAGCAUUUGUCCAGAUCUCAACAUUGCAGAUGGAUCCAUUUUACGCAUCUUCUUGAAGGGACUCAAAAGAACGUUGUGGAGAAUAACAGCUGAUUCUGAAACCACUCCCUUGCUUAAAACUCCUUUGUGACUCUGUUGACAAAAUUGCUAUAGCUAUGACUUAUAAUAAAUAAAAACUAGUAUCAUCCUGCAGUUUAAUUCUCAGUAUAAGCAAGAAUAGGCCUUGAAACUUGGUGACCUUUUGUCUUAAGCUGGAAAAUAUAAUAAGAGAGCUUUCCAGAGAAAAAUCUAUUUUUUAAAUGGCAAUGGCAAACUAUAUAGUACAAUGCAUGUAGGUACAUUAGAGACUGGAUAACAUGCUAGAUUCAAAUUUGUUUGGACUGACUGUACAGUGAUAGCAGCACUAUAUUUCAUGUAAAAGAAAAGCAGUAAAUAAAUAUUUUAUAUCUUAAAUAUUUUUUCUUCUCCUUUCUCCUCCUCUGCCUAGAUCUAUUAUAAUUUUGAAAAAUCUACUUUAACUACCAUAUGUUGGAAACAUUUUGCUCAAAUUAAAAAUCCAUUGCAUUAAUAUCUUAGCAGCCAGUGAAGAAAUAAGGCUGUUUUCCUUGCCAAAAGUCAAAAGGUUAUCAUUCAGUGGAAGAAUGCCAGCAGUGUUGUGGAAUAGAAAUAUGGAGAACAAAGCUUCCUCACCUUUUUCUGAGCAGGAAUAAUGAACAUCAGUUGCCAGAGAAUCCCCAAGUACAUAGAAGAUGCAUAUCCUGUGUUUUAUUAAAUAGUUUAGUCUGAGAUAGUGUGCUUCAUGAAUGAAUAAAGAUAUGGACCUGUGCCUUCCAUGCACAUAUAUCAACCACUGAAUUUAGCAGGUUCUGUUUAAGGAUGUGACUAUGGACUUUAUCUCAAGUUUUGAAGUUCUCAUAAUGACUUCAUUCACAUGAUGGGUUUUUGUGAUACAUUACUGGCAUGGAAAAGGCCAGGUUAAUUUGAGGUAUAGCUGAGAAACAUUUUGGUAAUCUGGAGAGCUCUUGGUAGAAUAUAGAUAAUAUUAACUAUAGAUGGACUAAUGGUCUGAUUUAAUAUACAAUAUAUUUUCAAAUAGACAUAAUGUGGAGUCCUUUUGCCACUUGAUUCCAGAAGCCAUCUAAGUAUGUGAAAGAUUUAAGGAAAUCAAAAGUCUGAAGUCCAGGAAAAAGAGGCUCAGGGUCAGAGUCCAGACAAACUGGGAAAACAAACACUUGCUGCUGAUCUGUGUUUCUUAUUCUAUGAAUAAAGAGAACUUUAGUCUCUGGGGGAACAAAUAAAUAUGGUGUUGCCUAAUGCCCAUGACAUGUUUAUUGUCAAAUUAAAACAAAUAAUUUUAUCUUUGGCCUAUUUUAAAUGAAUUAGAAUGCAACUGAAAUAAUAGCUGGCUCUCCUAAAGCUCAUUAAUUAAAUGAAAGUGUAACUAAUUGUUAUAUGUUUGUUUCAUGUAGACUGAAAGGUAGAAUCACAACAGACAUAAUUAGAGUAAUUAUUACAGUCUGCAUUUAAUUCUGAACCCCCAGGGAAUAUUGAAUUUUCAUUCAUGGAAACCAUAUUCCUUUCUAUAAGAAAUACAGCAUCUCCCACUUAACAGAUAUGUUUUUCAUAAUGCCACCUCAGGUGAGAUCAUCCCAUUCUAUUCUUUGUCACAACAGGAUUGUUAUUCAGAAUGACAGCAGUCAAAAGAUAAAUGCUAACAUGCAUGUUCUAGUUUUGCAUUUCUCAUCUCAAAAUAUAUGUGGCAUAUAUAACAAGAUAUUCUAUGCCUGAAAAUUUUUAAAUAUUCUGAAAGAGAACUGAUAUGAAUUCACUUUGUCCUCAGUGUUCACUGGUACUUAAAGUUCAGAUUGUUUUCUCAAUAAAUAAAUGAAUAAGUAUAAUAGUUUUGACUUAUUUGUUUAGUUGGGUUCUGUUUAUCUUGUUUAUCUAGAACACUCUGAUGAAACUGUCAUUGUUUUAAAAAGUUGGAAGUUCCAGUGGUUUAAACUUAUUAGCAUAUUAUCAAAAAGAAAACUAACCUUUCUAAUGAAUGAAUACUUUUUGUUUAAUAAACUGUAGCACUUUCUUCUUCUAUUGAGGUCUCAAAACCUAAAUAUUUUGUAAGUGUAAUUAAUUAACAGA